RNAcentral lists this unclassified non-coding RNA (406 nucleotides) under soil metagenome. RNAcentral describes it as "partial contains 5.8S ribosomal RNA, internal transcribed spacer 2, and large subunit ribosomal RNA". The stretch from base 1 to 121 matches the Rfam family "5.8S ribosomal RNA", at positions 35 to 154 of the family's 154-position model. The record is from RNAcentral.
GAUGAAGAACGUAGCGAAAUGCGAUAAGUAAUGUGAAUUGCAGAAUUCAGUGAAUCAUCGAAUCUUUGAACGCACCUUGCGCCCUUUGGCCAUUCCGAAGGGCAUGCCUGUUUGAGUAUCAUGAACACCUCAACUCUUCAUGGUUUUCCGUGAUGAGCUUGGACUUUGGGGGUCUUGCUGGCCUAUGGUCAGCUCCUCUAAAAUAAAUCAGCUUGCCAGUGUUUGGUGGGUAUCACAGGUGUGAUAACUAUCUACGCUUGUGGUUUUCCACCAGGUAACCUUCAGCAGUGGAGGUUCGCUGGAGCUCACAGAUGUGUCUCUCCUCAGUGAGGACAGCUCUUUGAACGUUUGAUCUCAAAUCAGGUAGGACUACCCGCUGAACUUAAGCAUAUCAAUAAGCGGAGGA